RNAcentral lists this long non-coding RNA (215 nucleotides) under Lathyrus oleraceus (garden pea). RNAcentral describes it as "Pisum sativum (pea) long non-coding RNA (PSAT_LNC022549)". Lineage: Eukaryota; Viridiplantae; Streptophyta; Magnoliopsida; Fabales; Fabaceae. The record is from RNAcentral.
UUAGCGACAUGAAAUGACACACCAAAAUUUCCACACAUCCACAUCCUAUCAAAGGAUGGACCAAGAUAAACUAAAACAAAAUAAGUUCAACAAUAUAACAACUUAAGUUAGACAACAAUAAAAUAAGUCUCAAUCAAAUCCUAAGAUAAAAACUGAAAAUUGAAAAACUGAAAUAACAUCAAAAAGGCCAUCCAUCAAUCCUCAUCACUCAAUCC